Molecule: ribosomal RNA, 510 nt
Filed under: uncultured bacterium
Lineage: Bacteria
Description: partial 16S ribosomal RNA
Rfam family: Bacterial small subunit ribosomal RNA
Source: RNAcentral
GACGAACGCUGGCGGCGUGCUUAACACAUGCAAGUCGAACGAAGAGCGAUGGAAGCUUGCUUCUAUCAAUCUUAGUGGCGAACGGGUGAGUAACGCGUAAUCAACCUGCCCUUCAGAGGGGGACAACAGUUGGAAACGACUGCUAAUACCGCAUACGAUCUAAUCUCGGCAUCGAGGAUAGAUGAAAGGUGGCCUCUACAUGUAAGCUAUCACUGAAGGAGGGGAUUGCGUCUGAUUAGCUAGUUGGAGGGGUAAAGGCCCACCAAGGCGAUGAUCAGUAGCCGGUCUGAGGGGAUGAACGGCCACAUUGGGACUGAGACACGGCCCAGACUCCUACGGGAGGCAGCAGUGGGGAAUCUUCCGCAAUGGACGAAAGUCUGACGGAGCAACGCCGCGGGAGGGAUGACAGCCUUCGGGUUGUAAAGCUCUGUUAGUCGGGACGAAAGGCCUUCUUGCGAAUAGUGAGAAGGAUUGACGGUACCGGAAUAGAAAGCAACGGCUAACUACGUG